ACUGCGUGACUGGUCUCCGCUACCGUCUACCUUUUUCAUUUAUCUGUGUUAGGGUUUUUAGAUAUCAGGAUUGUUCUCCUUCCCUCAAAUUCACCUUAUUAGCUUUUUCAAAGUUCAGAAUAGUUAGCGUCCUCCGUAUAACUGCGGUUUUAAACCGACAUUUGUCCGUACCCAAGAUUCUUACGAAGAUCGAAAUUCUUCCGCGUCUUUGUUUUGGCUACGCUUCAACGCGGACAACGACGUAUGGCUUCUUCCUCAAUAAUCACUCCUGAAGAUGUGUUGGAGUCGCUGAUGAAUGACGGCUCAAUUGAUGCCCUCAGAUUGAAGAUCAUCAACCAGCUCAAAGCCAAUGAGGAAUUGAAGAGUACUACUAUAAAGAUGGCCGAACAGAGCAAGGUUCUUAACACCCCCGGUGCUGAAAAACAGACUAAAAGAGAGCUCUUUGAUGCUCUUCGGCAAGAACUUGAAGCUUCUGUACUCGAAAAAGCCUCAAAAUCAGUUUGGGAUUUAAUUGUAGACAAUAAUGGCCUGGGAAAGGAGAUAAGUGAAACUGUUGAGCGAGUGUUUUGUCGACUGAGUGGCCAGGAACCUCCAUUGUUUCCACUUCCUAAUGGAGAGCAGCAAUCUGAAAAGGAGGCUGGCAACAGAAAAGAAAAAGGCAAGGGAAAGCAGAAGGAAAAUGAAAUCCCAAAUACAAAUACUCCGUCAAAGAAAAGAAGCUUCAGUGAAAUAAAUUUGGAAGGACCAGAUGAAACUUCAACCAGGUUCUCUGAUCCCGCGGCAGUAUUGGAAGGUUCUGGCAAAUCACCUGUAUCAAUUUCGAAGACUUGAGUUGCAAAUUCGACAAUCCUUUUGUAACUGCAGUGAUCAAAUCUGCAUUCUUUUUGCUUUUGGAGCGCGGGAUGCCUACAACUACAAGCUCCGCAAUUGCUUUCGCAAGAUUCUCGCGUGACAUUAUUACUAUGGUACAUAUGCAAAUAUUUUGGAAUACCUCUAGGGGUUCUUUAGGAUCGAAGGAGUUGUUCAUUUUUGAAUCUUUACAAAUGAACGAAGAAUUUUUCUAUUUGAAACAAGUCAACGAGGCAGAAAAUCACCUAUUUGUUGGGCGAAAUGCACUCGCUAAGCGAGAAUGAGAAUGUUUUUGCGAAAAGUAAGAGAAAUAGGAAUGUUUCACUAGCUGUGAAAUAAGACACGAAUUUAUGAAAAUUGUUCUCAGAGGUCUUGUUUGUUAAGCGAGUGAAACACCGAUGAAUUUUUGUUCCUCCGUAGGAAAGGGGUUGCAUAUAAGAUGAGAAAGGUUAAGAUAUGAAGUGUUUUAAAAUGUGUUUAAAUGUCGAUUAAUUAUUGAAAGAGAGAUGCAAUGUAAGUAAUGAAUGAGAAGAAAAUGUUUAGAUAUAAAUGUGAUGAUGCAUGUGAUGAAUGAGAUGAAAAUGUUUAGAUCUAAAUGUGAUGAUGCAUGUGAUGAAUGAGAUGAAAAUGUUUAGAUCUAAAUGUGAUGAUGCAUGUGAUCAAGCAUAUUGUAUAUGUGAUUGGUGUUGAUGAAGGUGGAAUGACUUUCAAGGAAGAAAAUAUUUCAUUUUAGUGUUAAUGUGUAUUGAAUAGGGAUUCAAAUAGGAGAUUAUUUGGAUUUUAUUAAGUUUUUUAACUCACAUAAAAGAGAUAUUUAGGUAGUGAAGAUUUCUAGGAUGGGAUUUAGUUUGAAAGAGAAUCUUUGAGGCAUGUCAUGGUGAGUUUACUCUAUAAUAUGAGAUGAGAGUGAUAAAUUUUCGAAAUUUAUAUGACCGGUGUAAAAUCCUCGAGUUUAAGUUUUAUUCUUUCUAAAUAUACUUUAUUUGUUAUUUGUUAUGAUC
Vigna radiata var. radiata (mung bean) is the source of this 1850-nucleotide RNA transcript. RefSeq lists it as uncharacterized. The transcript has 6 exons. The record is from RefSeq and is a predicted model, not a curated record. Lineage: Eukaryota; Viridiplantae; Streptophyta; Magnoliopsida; Fabales; Fabaceae.